UUUCUCCAGGCUCCAUUUUCAAAUUCAUACGGUUCUUAGGACGACACAUCACACCUUCUGAAACGACGCCAUUGACAUCAAACUGGAUUCCCACCGCAUCUUGUUCCUUAUGGCUGCGAAUCACCACAUACACGACGUUUUCUUCUAUAGGCAUACCUAUACCGUCACACCUGUUCCUGUUUCCUCCCCCAGUAUAUAACCACCGCUCCUUAUCAUAUGUUUUAUUCUUACACGUCUCUUGCAAACCCUAACCCUCCAUCCGGUGUAUUACUUUUCUAAAAGCCUCCGUUCAUCUUCAUCUUAUUUUUGAAAUUAGGGUUUCCUUUAUCUUCCAUCUUUUGGUGCUGGCUGUGUACGACGACAAUGUGCAAGGUGGUGGUGUUCGUUCUAUGCUAAGCAUGGACUUUGAGGGAUAGAGAUGGGUAUUAGGAUUAUAGCAAAGCUCGUUGAGUGUGGCCCGACCAUUAUGAAUACAGGGACACACAACUAAAUUAUAUGUUGCAAAUGUUGCCACAUGUUUGGAUGUUUUUUGAGGGUCAUCAAAAAGUUGACGUGGAUAAACUCAACACAUCUGUGUCAAAAUAUGGAGAAGUUGGAUUGGUAACCUUCAAGGAUGCAAAUUAUCAAAAUCUAGCAGUGAUGAAAUCUCAUAAUAUUUAAAUUAUGACAUACAUAACGUGAUGUUGAAAAAAAUAAUAGGGUUAAUAUAAAUGUUAGUUAGACUUUUUGGUAAUUAUGAUUGUAGAAAAUCCACAAACAUGUAACAAUUUAUCUAUUAAGGUUGGAUACUAUUACCCCAUC
This is a non-coding RNA of Lactuca sativa (garden lettuce), 801 nucleotides long. The record is from RefSeq and is a predicted model, not a curated record. NCBI's taxonomy places the organism in Eukaryota, Viridiplantae, Streptophyta, Magnoliopsida, Asterales, Asteraceae.